Molecule: non-coding RNA, 276 nt
Organism: Vicia faba (fava bean)
Lineage: Eukaryota; Viridiplantae; Streptophyta; Magnoliopsida; Fabales; Fabaceae
Source: the annotation of a GenBank genome assembly
AUGAGCUGCUUUACUCCAAAAGUGCUGUCUGGUAUGAAUCACUUCCUUACUUGUCCUCCUAUCGUUCGGUCUCUGGCACAACAAACUUCCGCAACAUUGCUGGCAACAGCUGAUGAAAACCUGUCAUUUCCUACUCCUCCGCGAUCUGCUUGUAUUCAGAAGGGAAAAAACAAAGUCAUCUUUCCAAAAGAACAAAACCUAGCAUCAAUGAAGUCUUUGUUGAACUGUUAUCAAGGUGAACGAGAUAUUUCGUUGUAUGCCUUUCUUCAAGGAUAA